Arachis duranensis is the source of this 420-nucleotide long non-coding RNA. RefSeq lists it as uncharacterized. Lineage: Eukaryota; Viridiplantae; Streptophyta; Magnoliopsida; Fabales; Fabaceae. The transcript is spliced from 2 exons. The record is from RefSeq and is a predicted model, not a curated record.
UGCAAAGAGACCUGAGAAUGCAGGGAAGCUUAUUGCGAGUACUGUGAGAAGUAUGCUAAAGCUGAAGAUGUAGGAGCUGCACCAGAAGAGAAAUCAAGUGAUGAUGAGGAAAUAAGUGAAGAUCAAUAUGAUUCAAGUGAUGAACAGGUUGCUGGUAAAGCAGAUCCUUAGCUGCUUCAAGUGAUGAACUUGGAAUUGUGGUCAAAGGGGGAAAUGCCCCUUAUUGUUGUUCAGUUUCACGUCAAUGUAAAUAAUGUACCAUUGAUUUCCUGAUGCAAUCUUAGUUUCUUGUUGUGGCUCUUUCAAAUUGAUGCAUUGUGCUUUUUAGCUUAGCAUGGUACUACCAUAAUAUGCACAAAUACUCUUCCUGUAACUCAUUUAAUGCAAUGUUCACAACUAUUCAUCUUUUGAUCUUUGAAA